Molecule: long non-coding RNA, 205 nt
Filed under: Elaeis guineensis (African oil palm)
Lineage: Eukaryota; Viridiplantae; Streptophyta; Magnoliopsida; Arecales; Arecaceae
Description: long non-coding RNA (EGUI_LNC016154)
Source: RNAcentral
UCGACAGAGUAAUCCUUAUCCUAGUCGACAUACGACCGAUUAAGAUUGGUGGGACUUGACCACCGAUUGAGGACAAUGGACCUAACCAAGUUGAUAUCUAACUGAUUUGGUUCGACAUAUAAUCUAUAACUAGCUGGUGAUAUUUAGCAUCUAGCUGAUUAUUUUUUUGGAGCCAUGCUGACUACUUCCUCGAGACUAUACCAAC